UGGGGAAUAUUGCACAAUGGACGGAACUCUGACGCAGCGACGCCGCGUGAACGAAGAAGGCUUUCGGGUUGUUAAGCUCUUUUAAAAGGGAAGAUAAUGACGGUACCAUAAGAAAAAGCCCCGUCUAACUACGUGCCAGCAGCCGCGGUAAUACGUAGGGGGCUAGCGUUGUCCGGAAUCACUGGGCGUAAUGGGUUCGCAGGCGGAAAUGCAAGUCAGGUGUAAAAGUCGGUAGCUUAACUAAUGUAUGCAUUUGAAACUGCAUAUCUUGAAAAGUGUCGAGGUAGGUGGAAUUUUUAGUGUAGCGGUGAAAUGCGUAGAUAUUAAAAAGAAUACCAGUGGCGAAGGCGACUUACUGGGCUAUUUCUGACGCUGAGGAACGAAAGCGUGGGGAGCAAACAGG
This 403-nucleotide ribosomal RNA is filed under the name Fusobacteriota bacterium. RNAcentral's name for it is "Fusobacteria bacterium partial 16S ribosomal RNA". It matches the Rfam family "Bacterial small subunit ribosomal RNA", at positions 355 to 776 of the family's 1533-position model. The record is from RNAcentral. Lineage: Bacteria; Fusobacteriati; Fusobacteriota.